This 634-nucleotide ribosomal RNA is filed under the name uncultured fungus. Its description in RNAcentral is "eukaryotic LSU rRNA". It matches the Rfam family "Eukaryotic large subunit ribosomal RNA", at positions 24 to 664 of the family's 3401-position model. The record is from RNAcentral. Lineage: Eukaryota; Fungi.
CCCGCUGAACUUAAGCAUAUCAAUAAGCGGAGGAAAAGAAACCAACAGGGAUUGCCUUAGUAACGGCGAGUGAAGUGGCAAAAGCUCAGAUUUGAAAUCUGAUGUCAAUUUGGCAUCUGAGUUGUAAUCUGUAGAGGAGUAUUCAAGUAUGACUUUGGCUUAAGUUUUCUUAGAAUAGAGCAUCAUAGAAGGUGAGAAUCCUGUCUAUAGUUAAAGUUUUAUGCUUAUAUGAAUCUCCUUCAAUGAGUCGAGUUGUUUGGGAAUGCAGCUCUAAAUUGGUGGUAAAUCCCAUCUAAAGCUAAAUAUUGGCAAGAGACCGAUAGUGCACAAGUAGAGUGAUCGAAAGAUGAAAAGAACUCUGAACAGAGAGUUAAAUAGUACGUGAAAUUGUUGAAAGGGAAGCACUUGCAACUAGAUAUAUUUAGAACUAAUCAAUUACUAUUUAUUAGUGAUGCACUUAGUUCUAAAUGGGUCAAUAUGAGUUAUCAUAAGCAGGAAAAAGAUUGAUGGAAUGUAGCUCUCUUCGGGGAGUGUUAUAGCCAUUAAUUGAAUACUGCUCGUUAUGACUGAGGACUGCACUGAAUAAGUAAGGAUAUUGACAUAAUGGUUGUAAGUGACCCGUCUUGAAACACGG